GCUCAACUGAGGAAUUGCUUUGGAAACUGGAUGACUUGAGUGCAGUAGAGGAAAGUGGAACUCCAUGUGUAGCGGUGAAAUGCGUAGAUAUAUGGAAGAACACCAGUGGCGAAGGCGGCUUUCUGGACUGUAACUGACGUUGAGGCUCGAAAGUGUGGGUAGCAAACAGGAUUAGAUACCCUGGUAGUCCACACCGUAAACGAUGAGUGCUAGGUGUUUGAGGGUUUCCGCCCUUAAGUGCCGCAGCUAACGCAUUAAGCACUCCGCCUGGGGAGUACGACCGCAAGGUUGAAACUCAAAGGAAUUGACGGGGACCCGCACAAGCGGUGGAGCACGUGGUUUAAUUCGAAGCAACGCGAAGAACCUUACCAGGUCUUGACAUCCCUUGACAACUCCAGAGAUGGAGCGUCCCCUUCGGGGACAAGGUGACAGGUGGUGCAUGGUUGUCGUCAGCUCGUGUCGUGAGAUGUUGGGUUAAGUCCCGCAACGAGCGCAACCCUUAUUACUAGUUGCCAGCAUUCAGUUGGGCACUCUAGUGAGACUGCCGGUGACAAACCGGAGGAAGGUGGGGAUGACGUCAAAUCAUCAUGCCCCUUAUGACCUGGGCUACACACGUGCUACAAUGGCGUAUACAACG
This 637-nucleotide ribosomal RNA is filed under the name uncultured bacterium. RNAcentral describes it as "bacterial SSU rRNA". It matches the Rfam family "Bacterial small subunit ribosomal RNA", at positions 607 to 1244 of the family's 1533-position model. The record is from RNAcentral.